Molecule: transfer RNA, 93 nt
Filed under: Actinomycetota bacterium
Lineage: Bacteria; Bacillati; Actinomycetota
Description: Actinobacteria bacterium (soil metagenome) tRNA-Sec
Rfam family: Selenocysteine transfer RNA
Source: RNAcentral
GGAGGCGUCCGGGUGCCUGGUGGCCCCCCCGGUCUUCAAAACUGGUGGACGGCGCUCCGCGUCGUCGGCGGGUUCGAUUCCCGUCCGCCUCCG